RNAcentral lists this long non-coding RNA (540 nucleotides) under Sorghum bicolor (sorghum). RNAcentral's name for it is "long non-coding RNA (SBIC_LNC015635)". Lineage: Eukaryota; Viridiplantae; Streptophyta; Magnoliopsida; Poales; Poaceae. The record is from RNAcentral.
UAAAGUCUAGGUAAGAGAAAGGCAUGAUAUAAAGUUGAGCUACUGUUUAUCUUGUUUCUACUACACUAAGUUCUGAAGAUUUAUUUUGAAAACUUACAAAUCACAUGAUGAGUUCCUAGCAUAACAAAACUACCUACCACAGCCAUACUUGCUAUAACAUCUUUUACUAUAUUUACAUUGAGUUUGAUCGAGCUGUGUAGACCCUUAGGAGCUUUUCAUGUGGUUAAAUUAAGAUAUUCACUUGCACACAUCUACCGCAGCAUUCAUCAUUUAUUAAAAUUGCUAAAAAAAUAUUUUCACUCACUGUCCCGAAUAUUGUUAUUCUCUCUCUCUAAAAAGAUUCAAUGCAGAAGAGGCAUGGGUUAUGCAAAAAUAUGCGAGGAAAUAAAAAGGGGCAAGUGCCCGGAACCUCGGAAAAGAAAGAAAAAGAGUGAGACGAGAGGUAAAAAUGGACAAGUGUCCGAAGUAGAAUUAGGGGUACAAAGAUGCCCACUUGAGCGGAAAAAAUGGACAAGUGUCCGACGGUAGAAUUAGGGGUAU